CCAUAGACUAACAUCUGAAGAGGUUGAUCUCAGAAUUCGAUAGUAGAUAUACGUUUAGACUCUACCGAUCCUUAUCCUAGCAAAUACAACUGGCCCUGACUACCUUAAUUUGGUGCCUACAUGCAUCAGAUUGCUCUAAAGCCUCUUCAACUGAAGCUAGCCUAAUCCUAUCUAUGCCCUUAUUUCAAAUUCAAAUGUACCUGCGACACUAUAGCUGGCUUCAGAAUAUAUAAGAUAGGUGUAACCACCCAAUCCCAAAGAUCCUAAUCAAAAAUUUAGCCACAUCAUGCCCAAAUCGGCCAAG
RNAcentral lists this long non-coding RNA (304 nucleotides) under Elaeis guineensis (African oil palm). RNAcentral's name for it is "long non-coding RNA (EGUI_LNC038481)". The record is from RNAcentral. Lineage: Eukaryota; Viridiplantae; Streptophyta; Magnoliopsida; Arecales; Arecaceae.